Long non-coding RNA from Branchiostoma floridae (Florida lancelet), 382 nucleotides. RefSeq lists it as uncharacterized. The record is from RefSeq and is a predicted model, not a curated record. The transcript is spliced from 3 exons. NCBI's taxonomy places the organism in Eukaryota, Metazoa, Chordata, Leptocardii, Amphioxiformes, Branchiostomatidae.
ACAGUUCCGUCCACCUCCUCCAGCCGGCAGGUUGAGCGGUGUUAGUAGAGUGUUUGGACACACCGGUGUGUACACUGGGCACGUUAUGUACACUGCAUGGGUAUGUACACUGGGUAUGUACACUGGGUAUGACCUAUUGUUUAGCCGCGGGGAUGUCUAACCACACCGCUAUGAUGUCAGCUAUCCCGGGGUUACGUCAGCUCACGCACCGCGCGGUCCAGGACGCGGGACCUCUAACGUAACUGUUCCCCCGGUGCAUCCUGGGAAAAUGGUACAGAUGGUAAGGAUCCAGAUGAUCGAAACCUAAAUCCUACGGAAAACACAUCUACGCUCAGUCGGAGGAGUGGCGCUAGGCUGACGGCACGCUAAAGCCCCCCCCCCC